GGCUUUAUAGUCAUUAAUGAUAUUAGACUGCAAUUCUAAAGGAGUGUAUCUUACACUAAGGCUU
RNAcentral lists this transfer RNA (64 nucleotides) under Simulium angustipes. RNAcentral describes it as "tRNA-Cys". The record is from RNAcentral. Lineage: Eukaryota; Metazoa; Arthropoda; Insecta; Diptera; Simuliidae.